GGGCAUUUGGCACAGUGGUAGCGCGCACGCUUCGCAUUUGAUAAUGCCUGCGUGAGGUCCAGGGUUCAAUCCCCUGAAUGUCCA
Transfer RNA from Fomitopsis pinicola, 84 nucleotides. It matches the Rfam family "tRNA". Rfam says of the family: Transfer RNA (tRNA) molecules are approximately 80 nucleotides in length. Their secondary structure includes four short double-helical elements and three loops (D, anti-codon, and T loops). The record is from Rfam. Lineage: Eukaryota; Fungi; Basidiomycota; Agaricomycetes; Polyporales; Fomitopsidaceae.